CUGCCCUCAAGCACGGCUUGUGUGUUGGGUGUGGUCCCCCCGGGGACCUGCCCGAAAGGCAGCGGCGACGUCCGUCUGGUCCUCGAGCGUAUGGGGCUUUGUCACUCGCUCGGGAAGGACCUGCGGGGGUUGGUCACCACCAUAUUUUUUUACCAC
RNAcentral lists this unclassified non-coding RNA (156 nucleotides) under uncultured Talaromyces. RNAcentral describes it as "sequence contains ITS2". The record is from RNAcentral. Lineage: Eukaryota; Fungi; Ascomycota; Eurotiomycetes; Eurotiales; Trichocomaceae.